GUGGAUCUGCUGUCCUGUUGGUUUUCUCUCCAACUCUAAUAUUGCACACCUGAUACUAAUCAUUAGGGACGAAAAACGAAAUCAGGUUGGUCACAAAUGUGGUUCAAGAAAAAAAAAAAAUACUGCUAGACGGUUGAUCUCCAGGAACAGGUUUGGCCAGCCCAGCUUAGAUCACUCACUGUGAUACAAAAUUAGAGCGGGUGUGCUUUCUUUCACCGUGCGGAAACGUCUUAUGAUGAAGGCAAGCGCAAGAGGAAGAAGCAGAAGGGAAGAUGUCCAAAAUAUGGGAAACAAUGUUAUGUACUGGAUCAGAAGGGAGUCUUAACAGGAUCAGACAGCCAGGGGAUUCAAUUCUUUCAAACAUGAGGUGAAUUUUGCAAUAUAUGGAAAAUUACCUGCUAGACCAUAGAAGAACUCUAGAGUGGACAACUAAAGAAUGCUCGCCAUAAUGAAGAAAAGAGUAUCUGUCCAAUAGAUCAGAAACCCUCUAAGAGGUAAGCGUGGAUGUGUCUUCACCUGGUAAACUAAAGAGGCUGAAGUGUGGACUGCAAGUUGACAUCAAAAACAGGGUGGCCGGGAAAAAUAACAAAAGGAGCCUGCAGAAUUCUGGAAAAAGCAGGGUAAUGACCCAGAAGAUACUGCUAAACUAAGGGCUAAAAAGUGAUUUGUUAUUGACUGGCCAAGUUCAUCACGAGACGGGAUCCAACUGAUCAAGGGUUUCACUUGCUGAAGACAAGACAUCCGGAACAAACGGAGACUGCAGAUGCGCUGCUGGGCUUUUAGCAAUUACCAGGGCAAUUACCCAGCAUGCUGCAGUCCCCGUUUGCAUGUGCAUCACAUGUAAAGGAUUUGUAAUCAAACACUUAAUAUGACCACUUAUGUUAUUUCAAAUAGUUAAUUUCAGCAAUUACCUUUGGUCUGCUAAAAUAGGGUGUGUGUCUAUAAAGGGCUGUACAUUUCUACACGGUUCAUGGUUCUUCCCUCAAACAGAGCCAGAACAGCCAAACCUGUGACUGUACCAAUACUUAUGGACUGCGCUUUGUUGUAGGGAGACAGUCAUAUUCUGUUAUAAGAUGGAAAAUCCAAAUAUGAGUUCCCAAUCGAGCGAGGAGUACUGUAACAAGAAGUGUGUUCCAGUCUCCUUUCCCUCCCUACUGGAGCUGAACCGUGACAGCCUGUCCAAUCAGGACGUGUUCAUCCAUCCUGACUGAGGCACAGCCUAAAAGAAACGUGUGUUACAUUCCAACGCUGUAGAUCUGUGAUGUUUAUCACUAUCUGAGGCCAGCAUGGUCUUGCACUUACAUUCUUCAAGGAGUCUACAGUAUCUGGUUGCAUAUCUGCCACUGAGGUCUUUUUGCCCGUAAAGCCGUCAGGCACACGUAGUUUCACGUAGCGAAUAUUAGGCACAGAUUCGAGAAAUGAAUUUCCUUACAUCAUCCAGAAAAUAACCUUUUUAAUCUGAUCUUCACCUUGCACACUGUGGUUGCUUUUGAGGCCUUGUGAGAGAGAAGUCCAUAAAAUCUUUGAGAGCUACUUGACAUUUCCAUGCCUUUUAGAUGUUAGACUCCCUGAAAAUCUAAUCAAUACAUGUUGCUGCCUGAAUGAUUCAUUUUCAUAACUGGUUGACAUUCCUAUAUUAUACUAAUAAUAUUGUACAUAAAAUAUGCCACUUAUAGUUAACUCUGGAAACCAUAAAAAAUCCAACAUGCAGUAAUAUCAGUCUGACAGUAGAAGGCACUAAUCCCACACAAACCUAACCAGGUGUACUAUUUGAGUAUUCAACAUGCUAUCAUGUUGAAAGCCUAGUUAUAUUGUCCAAGGACUUACAGAUUACGUUUUUUAUUUAUUAGUUGUCUAUUGAACCACAAAUCUAUGCAUUGCUCUUGUCUUGUUCAUACUCAUUGAUUGUUGUUAUUGGAAGGUGCUUUUUUUUUAUAGAAAACGUCAUAUUUGCGAUCUGAGUGAUUCCUUGGUCAUAAUUGAUUAAAUAGACAUUUGGAAAUGAUCCACUGUGACAUUCAAUCUCCUCCAAAACUCUACUAACUACUGAAAAGGCCACUGAUUGUUUAUUAUUCAUUCUAAAGUAGACUCAGUGGGUGUAGGAGAACCAAACAGUCCCCUGUGUCAUUCUAAAGGAAGUUAUUUUAGUGAAUCCACCUGUGAACUAUCUAUAGAUGCUAGUUGUCAUCCUUUCAUCCCAGUCACUAACUAUGCUUGCCCC
Molecule: long non-coding RNA, 2221 nt
Organism: Esox lucius (northern pike)
Lineage: Eukaryota; Metazoa; Chordata; Actinopteri; Esociformes; Esocidae
Source: Ensembl